RNA transcript from Daktulosphaira vitifoliae (grape phylloxera), 3534 nucleotides. It is a transcript of the gene named post-GPI attachment to proteins factor 2-like, with no coding region annotated. The transcript has 6 exons. NCBI's taxonomy places the organism in Eukaryota, Metazoa, Arthropoda, Insecta, Hemiptera, Phylloxeridae. The record is from RefSeq and is a predicted model, not a curated record.
UACUUUAAAAAAAAUAAAUUAAAAUACCUUAUUAUUUCUUAAAGUUCCUCCUUCCUUUCAUAUCGUUAUAAUUUAUUACAGACUACUUGCCAGGCGCGUGACAUUUUGCAUCUGUUACACAUGCCACAAGCAACAGCAGUUCAGACUAUCUUGAUAAUAUAUAAAAUCAAUGAUAAAACGAUUAUAUACCACUAAUACGUGAAUUAUGCUUAACUGUUUUCAUUUUUCAAGCUUUCCUUAAUUUAUUUUAUUAUACAACCACCUAAUACGUGUUUAUGAUAUAAAUAUAUUCAUAGUGAUUCAAACAUAAUAUGUUAACCCUUUAAUGUAAAUUUUUGUUAUUGUUAGCUCAAAACUAAAAUUAUAUAUUAAAAGUUUUGACAUGAUUUGUAAGGUUUUUAGAUUUCAACAAACGCUUUGUAGUAGCAAACAUUUUUACGAUAGGAUCAUUAAUUAAAGCAAAAUGAUCAUACAGUGGUGUCAAAAGUUCUCAAAGAUUCAUUACUGAAUUGACUUUUUAAAAAACGUUUCAAGUUAAUUAUAAAGUACAAUUUGCAGGUUGGGCAUAACUAUUAAUUUAUCAAUAUGACUUCCCACUUGCAUGCUAAUGAUCAGUCAUCUGAUUCCCUGAAACAAAUGCUAUUAUUUUUCAACCUAAGUAUACGAAAAUUAGCUAUUGUAGGUGUAUCAUUUCCGUUGGUUACUUUGUUUAUAUGCCUGGUCAGUGCUUAUAUUUUUCAGUAUGAUGAUGUACAUGAAACACAUUGCCAAGUUUUCAAUGUCAUUCCUUCAAUUAGUGCUAUAACUGGUAUAACACCUCAAACAUAUUUAUGGAGAAUAGCUGUAGCAUUUCAUGUAGGGCCACGCAUGGUAAUAGCUCAAGUGUAUUACAAUUAUUUUAUCAGUAAAAUUUCAAAAUCUGAUAAAGUAAUAAAUUUCAUAUUAAUCCAUGUGUGUUAUUGGCUUAAUAUGAUUGAAAUAGUUACUAUUUGUGGUGUAACAUACAUAUCAAAUAGAGAAAACUAUCCUAUACAUGAAAAAUUGUUUAUUUUAUUUAUGCUGAGCUCAUUGCUUUAUAUGAUAGUUAUGAUCAAAACUUUUGGAAUGGUACAUAAGAAUAUGACUGAUUUUCAGUUUAAAUCUUACAAAAUUAAAAAAAUACUUUUUGGUAUUUGUAUUGCAUCAACAAUUACAUUGAUACUAUUUUUCAUCAAGCACAGAUUUUAUUGUCAUGAUUUAGCAUUUACCUGGUUUGCACUAAGCGAAUAUAUAUUAGCUGUUUCUAACAUGGCCUUUCAUUUUACUAUAACACUGGAUUUUCCAAAUGAAAAGUUAAUUGUUGCUAAAGAUUUUCCACUAUUAAAGAUGAAUUAAUGAAGUUAUUAUUAACAAUCUAUCAUAUUUUAUUGAAUAAUAUUCUUCAUCUAGUCAUAAAAAAAAUAUUUAUCUUUAAUGUCAGCUAAGGAUCUAAAUAAAUAAUCCAAGGUUUUCUCUGGCUUUAGGACAGCCCUAUUUAUUAAUCAUAUGAUGGGAAUGAUACAAAUUGAAAAUGAGUCAUAUAAUUGAAAUUUAAUGUGUCAAUUUUGGUAACAUUUUUAAACAAACUUUGACUUAAAAAAAAAUGUGAUGUAUUUAUAAAAAGUAACAGUAACAAUCAAAAAUCAAUGUUUUAAAAAGUAUGAAUUGCAUUUUUGAACAAUGAGAUUUAAAUUGAGAUCAUUUUCUGGUUUCAUAAGAAAAUUAGUGAAAUAUUCUUAUUUUUAGACAUAUUCUAGAUCAAUUAUGAGAAAUAUUAAUAAUAUUACAGUAAUGAAAUGAGAAAAAUAUUCCCUAAAUAUAUAUAGUGUCUCAUAUUUAUUUAAUGACACUUUUAACUUUUGGUUCAAUCAUUAUUUUUAUAAUUAUUGCUUUAGACUAAGAAAAAAUAUACAGAUACAUAUUAUUAUUUUUUUUUAAUUUCAUUCAAUUGUUCUAAAAUUAUCAAUGACCCAUCAACAAUUUUCUUUAGAAAAAGAGACAAAAAAUGGCUAUUUUGAAAUUUUUAAAAAUAAUAAAGGUAUUGAUAUAUAUUUUUCCUAUAAGAAACAAAUAAUAAAAAAAUGCUUUUAAUGUAGUCUAAAACUCAAAAUUAUUUAAAAAUAAUAAUAAUGCAAAAUAUUUACUAAAUCAAAAGUUAUUAAACAUUUCAGACCAUGAUGGGACAUCCUGUUUAUAUUUAGUUAGUAAAAUUUUAUCCAAACAAAACAUGUCAAGUAUAUGUCACUGAUUAAGCAAAACUAAUUUUCUUCUACAAUAUUCCUUUCAAACAAAGAUUUUUUGGAAAUAAAACAAUGUAAUUACUAUAUUAUUUUAUAGAAUAAUAAUCAUGGUUAAUCUACAAUUUUAGAAAAAAUAAUAAUUUUCCAAAAAUCUAAUGUCUAGAUAUUUUUUCAGUUCUAUAUAAUAAAAUGUACUUAGUGUUAAAAAAUUAAUAAAACAGAUAAGUUAUUACAAACAAAAAGUUCAAUAAAAACCCUUUUUCUUAAUUAUUGAACACUAUAUAAUUUAAGAUAUAUACAUACAUAUGGGUGUUUCAGGCUUAACUGAUAAUUUUUAUACUUUUUGACACAUUUAUAAUUUUAUUGAAAUUUUUUUUUUCAACUAUUAUUGCUUUCUUAGACUACGCUUUAAGCAUAUUUUUAUUACUUACCACCAGUUUAUAAAUUAAAUUAAAAUAUACCUAACAUAAUUAAUAUACAAUUGUUUAAUUAUCUGUUAUCAAAAUUCUAGAUUUAAUUUAUUAUUUUCAAAAAUGUAUGGAUUAAAUAAUUUACCAAAGUCUAUUUAUUUCUAUUUUUAUGAGUAUUUUAAUAGAUAAUUUUAAUUUUAGUAAUAUAUUUAUAGAUAUAUCUUAAAAACGAGGAGAUUACUUUUUGAUUUUAAGAAACACCAUUUUCUUUUUUUAAAAAAAAAUACAUGGAUUACCUUAGUGGUCCCCUAAUUGAAUUUUAAUAAUAUUAUAAUCAGUUCAUACAAAUUUUAUUUUUAAAUAGUAUAGUUUAAAAAUGUUUGAUUUAUUAUGUUGUUUAUUUUAGAUAUAAUAUUAAUAUUAUAUUAAAAUUACUAAUUUUUGUGUAAAUAUUGUAUUUUCCUCUAGGUUUUUGUUAUAAUUUUAAUUAUUAAGUUGCUUCCAUGAACCUCAAAUACUUAUAAUAUUUAAAAGGACUCAUUAUUAUGUAAUGCGGGUGCUCUGUUCUGCAUCACUCACCUUUAAUUUGUGUCCACAUAUCAGGACAAAUCUGUGAUUACUUAGCUUCACACCAUAUAUCUAUAAGAUUAUUUUAUAAUAAAGCUUCUUCCGUAAUAAUAUUUAAAUUAUUAUAUUAUUAAAUAUUGUAAGUAUUUAAGGUAUAAUCUUUGAAUUUUAAACAUAAGUUUGAAUACUGUAAAUUUUGCUAGUCAUCUAGAUGAUACAUUCUAGUCAAUUAGUAAUUAAAUUACUAUAACUGUCAAUAUUAAUAUUAUAAUUGUAUUGAAAUUUAAAAUAAAAAUAAA